This 736-nucleotide long non-coding RNA is filed under the name Theropithecus gelada (gelada). Its description in RNAcentral is "lncRNA (ENSTGEG00000010742.1)". Lineage: Eukaryota; Metazoa; Chordata; Mammalia; Primates; Cercopithecidae. The record is from RNAcentral.
GCGGGCAGCAGGCUAGGGGCUGGGCGGCGGUUGAGACAGCGGCUGUAUUGGGGGAUAGGUGACGGUCGCGAGGCUGCCUGAGCUUCUGAGUGAGCUCGGAGCUUUGGGAAACGCGUGAGGGGCGACCUGCGGCGCCAGGAGCGGGCAGAGGCGCGGCGGCGCGGCUGCAGUCUGGAUGGGAAGUUACGGUUUACAGCGAAGUCCACCCAGCGUUUCCGAGGCAAUCUGAAGGCAAAUGCUGUUUAGAUGCAGGCCAAGGUUCCUGGUGACCCAGGCUCUCACCAGCAGAUUGUCCCUUACUGUCCUCCUGAGGGUGUCUGGAGCUUCAGUGCUGUGUGCUCUUGGCCUCCACACUGGGGUGCCACCGACUCCCACUGUCCAGGGCUUCCAGUGGACUCUCCGAGGCACUGAUGUAGAAACAUCCCCAUUCGGUGCACCAAGAGCAGCCUCCCACAGUGUGGGCCGACAGGAAGAGCUGCCAGAUCCAACAGCCCUUGAAGAUAAGGAUGGUCAAGCAAAAUAAUAUCAUACCUGGAGAAACUCAGAUCUUGGUAAGAUUUACUGGUUGGGAAUCCAAUGUUAAUGCCAAGAAGCAGCCGCCAGUUGGGAUCAAAUGUGAGCCUAUGGAUCAAGGUGCGUACUCAGACACACAGAGCUUUCUGAAAGAUGCUACCAGUAGUUUUUCCAGGGCAGAGAUGGGUCCUUUAUUUUUCUCUCUAAUCUAGCCCAUAUGCUU